RNAcentral lists this ribosomal RNA (475 nucleotides) under uncultured bacterium. RNAcentral describes it as "SSU rRNA". It matches the Rfam family "Bacterial small subunit ribosomal RNA", at positions 26 to 518 of the family's 1533-position model. The record is from RNAcentral.
AGGACGAACGCUGGCGGCGUGCUUAACACAUGCAAGUCGAACGGAAAGGCCCGCUUGCGGGUACUCGAGUGGCGAACGGGUGAGUAACACGUGGGCAACCUGCCCUCAGCUUCGGGAUAACACUUGGAAACAGGUGCUAAUACCGGAUAAUAACCUUUCAUCGCAUGGUGUGGGGUUCAAAGUUUUUCGGCUGGGGAUGGGCCCGCGGCCUAUCAGCUUGUUGGUGGGGUAAUGGCCUACCAAGGCGACGACGGGUAGCCGGCCUGAGAGGGCGACCGGCCACACUGGGGACUGAGACACGGCCCAGACUCCUACGGGAGGCAGCAGUGGGGAAUAUUGCGCAAUGGGCGGAAGCCUGACGCAGCGACGCCGCGUGAGGGAUGACGGCCUUCGGGUUGUAAACCUCUUUCAGCUCUGACGAAGCGCAAGUGACGGUAGGAGCAGAGAAGCACCGGCACUACGUGCCAGCAGCCGC